RNAcentral lists this ribosomal RNA (250 nucleotides) under uncultured bacterium. Its description in RNAcentral is "partial 16S ribosomal RNA". It matches the Rfam family "Bacterial small subunit ribosomal RNA", at positions 337 to 579 of the family's 1533-position model. The record is from RNAcentral.
UCCUACGGGACGCAGCAGUAGGGAAUUUUCGGCAAUGGGCGCAAGCCUGAACGAGCAAUGCCGCGUGAACGAGGAAGGUCUUCGGAUCGUAAAACUCUGUUGAAGGGGAAAAAGAACGGAGAGAGGAACUGGUCUCCGCUUGAUAUUAUCCAUCGAGGAAGUCACGGCUAACUACGUGCCAGCAGCCGCGGUAAUACGUAGGUGGCGAGCGUUAUCCGGAAUGAUUGGGCGUAAAGCGUGCGUAGGCGGC